Molecule: ribosomal RNA, 325 nt
Filed under: uncultured eukaryote
Lineage: Eukaryota
Description: partial 18S ribosomal RNA
Rfam family: Eukaryotic small subunit ribosomal RNA
Source: RNAcentral
CCCUUAGAUGUUCUGGGCCGCACGCGCGCUACACUGAUGCAUUCAACGAGCCUAUCCUUGACCGACAGGUCCAGGUAAUCUUUGAAUCUGCAUCGUGACGGGGAUAGAUUAUUGCAAUUAUUAAUCUUCAACGAGGAAUGCCUAGUAGGCGCAAGUCAUCAGCUUGCGUCGAUUACGUCCCUGCCCUUUGUACACACCGCCCGUCGCUCCUACCGAUUGGGUGUGCUGGUGAAAUGUUCGGAUCGGCCGUUUGUCGCGGUUUCCGCGUCAUGUGGCUGAGAAGUUCAUUAAACCCUCCCACCUAGAGGAAGGAGAAGUCGUAACA